CAGUAGCCACGGUAACACGAGGGGGGCAAGCGUUGUUCGGAAUUAUUGGGCGUAAAGGGUGCGUAGGCGGUUUGGCAAGUUUGGUGUGAAAUCUUCGGGCUCAACUCGAAGUCUGCAUCGAAAACUGCCGGGCUUGAGUAUGGGAGAGGUGAGUGGAAUUUCCGGUGUAGCGGUGAAAUGCGUAGAUAUCGGAAGGAACACCUGUGGCGAAAGCGGCUCACUGGACCAUAACUGACGCUGAUGCACGAAAGCUAGGGGAGCAAACAGGAUUAGAUACCCCUGUAGUCCCUGUCUCUUAUAC
RNAcentral lists this ribosomal RNA (301 nucleotides) under uncultured bacterium. Its description in RNAcentral is "partial 16S ribosomal RNA". It matches the Rfam family "Bacterial small subunit ribosomal RNA", at positions 509 to 807 of the family's 1533-position model. The record is from RNAcentral.